RNAcentral lists this ribosomal RNA (406 nucleotides) under uncultured bacterium. RNAcentral's name for it is "partial 16S ribosomal RNA". It matches the Rfam family "Bacterial small subunit ribosomal RNA", at positions 30 to 526 of the family's 1533-position model. The record is from RNAcentral.
AUUGAACGCUGGCGGCAGGCUUAACACAUGCAAGUCGAACGAGUGGCGGACGGGUGAGUAAUGCUUGGGAAUCUAGCUUAUGUAGGGGGAUAACUACUGGAACCGGUAGCUAAUACCGCAUACCAUCAGAUGAACCCAUAGGGGAUUAGCUGGUAGGUAAGGUAACGGCUUACCUAGGCGACGAUGCCUAGCUGGUCUGAGAGGAUGAUCAGCCACACUGGGACUGAGACACGGCCCAGACUCCUACGGGAGGCAGCAGUAGGGAAUAUUGGACAAUGGGCGCAAGUCUGACGGAGCAAUGCCGCGUGUAUGAAGAAGGCCUUAGGGUUGUAAAGUACUUUUAGUGGGGAGGCGGUACCUAAAGAAAAAGCAACGGCUAACUACGUGCCAGCAGCCGCGGUAAUAC